Molecule: small RNA, 142 nt
Filed under: Mariniflexile fucanivorans
Lineage: Bacteria; Pseudomonadati; Bacteroidota; Flavobacteriia; Flavobacteriales; Flavobacteriaceae
Description: Flavo-1 RNA
Rfam family: Flavo-1 RNA
Source: Rfam by way of RNAcentral
GUGCAAUAGCGAUUGUAGCGACAUCCUUUUUAAAAAACAAAAUGGGCUAAAAACUUGGUUAGAAAUAAAAAUCAGCAGAUUGCCACGUCGUUCCUCCUCGCAAUGACGUUUUAAAAAGAUAUAGCGGAAAGCGCGGUGCUUU